RNAcentral lists this transfer RNA (77 nucleotides) under Photobacterium profundum. RNAcentral describes it as "tRNA-Arg". It matches the Rfam family "tRNA". Rfam says of the family: Transfer RNA (tRNA) molecules are approximately 80 nucleotides in length. Their secondary structure includes four short double-helical elements and three loops (D, anti-codon, and T loops). The record is from RNAcentral. Lineage: Bacteria; Pseudomonadati; Pseudomonadota; Gammaproteobacteria; Vibrionales; Vibrionaceae. RNAcentral also lists the same sequence under 2 other names.
GCGCCUGUAGCUCAGCUGGAUAGAGCGUUGGCCUCCGGAGCCAAAGGUCGAAGGUUCGAAUCCUUUCAGGCGCACCA